RNAcentral lists this long non-coding RNA (303 nucleotides) under Mytilus galloprovincialis (Mediterranean mussel). The record is from RNAcentral. Lineage: Eukaryota; Metazoa; Mollusca; Bivalvia; Mytilida; Mytilidae.
UGGGUGUGUUUCUAGGGGAAGCUGUUUUUGUGUUUUUCCAGGGGAAACAUUUUUUUUGUGUUUCCAGGGGAAACAUUUUUUUUAAAUGUUUCAAUUUCUGUCUCGUACUAGUAAUUGUGUAACCACUUAGGAAAGAUUUCAUUUUAUGUUUCCAAGGGACACAUUCAAUUCUUAUUAUUUUUGUGCUUUACAGGAGAAGCAUGUUUUUUAGUUUCUAUCGGGAAAAAAAAUAUUUUCAGGUUGUUUCCCGGGGAUGUUUUUGGUGUGUUUCCAUGGGAAACAUUUUAUUUGUUUCCAGUGUUG